This 87-nucleotide unclassified non-coding RNA is filed under the name Pseudomonas sp. NFACC15-1. RNAcentral also lists the same sequence under 1 other name. Lineage: Bacteria; Pseudomonadati; Pseudomonadota; Gammaproteobacteria; Pseudomonadales; Pseudomonadaceae. The record is from RNAcentral.
GUGGGAGCCGAGCUUGCUCGCGAUGAACGAUGACGCGGUUUGCAGUUGAACCGUGUCGACUUCAUCGCGAGCAAGCUCGGCUCCCAC